GAGAAUUCCUCCCUCUCUCCAACUACAUCUGCCCUCUCUUCCCCUCUCUCACAUUUCACUUCCCCGCCCUGACUCUAUAAGAGAGUGCGUCUGAUUCUCCUACUAGAGGUGUGUUGAGAGAGAGAAUUUUCGGGAUGUUCUAAUCCUCCAGCCUGAAAGCAAAUGAAGAGACAGCCUGUUGUAGAAUCUGUCUUGAAGCCCUCAUUCCCGGGGGGAGAGAACUCUCUUUGGAAAGAGGCAGAGAAAACCUGGCAUCCCAAGGCAUCAAGAUGGGAGGCAGGGGGGAGUCUGAGGGCUCUACCCUCCCACGCAUCGGGCAACAAGCUCUCCCUCUCGGAGUCCCACGUCUCCCAGCUCUGUCUCUGUGGGUGCAGCCUGAGGACAAAGGCAGUGAUGCACCCCCGGCCCCCUCCAGUCUCCCGCUCAGUGUCUCGGGUGCUCCCCAGCUUGUCAUCAGGGAGGAAGCAGCUGUCUCCGGCCAUUGACUUCAAAUCUCAACUCUCCCAGAGCUUUCCAAAGCCCAAGGUGCAGUCCCAGCUGCUAUCUUGGUGCAGGUCAAGAGCUUCCUGCAAUGCCAUGCCGCUAUGCAAGUCGGCGCCCAUGGGCAUGUGGCCUCAAGGAUUUCUUGACCCACUCACCAAGACCUUGCCAGAGGAAUCCCUUCACACCUCUGUCCCACUGGGAGAGAGCCAUUUCCUCAGGCAGCGAGCCAUAUUCCCAAUGAUACCACUUGUGGAGGGUGGCAAUCCCCAGUCCUCUCUAACAUCCUUGUUUAAAUAAAAAUAUAUUUAGUCAA
This is a long non-coding RNA of Equus caballus (horse), 796 nucleotides long. RefSeq lists it as uncharacterized. Lineage: Eukaryota; Metazoa; Chordata; Mammalia; Perissodactyla; Equidae. The record is from RefSeq and is a predicted model, not a curated record.